This 467-nucleotide ribosomal RNA is filed under the name uncultured bacterium. RNAcentral's name for it is "partial 16S ribosomal RNA". It matches the Rfam family "Bacterial small subunit ribosomal RNA", at positions 28 to 507 of the family's 1533-position model. The record is from RNAcentral.
GACGAACGCUGGCGGCGUGCUAACACAUGCAGGUCGAACGGAAAGGCCCUGCUUUUGUGGGGUGCUCGAGUGGCGAACGGGUGAGUAACACGUGAGUAACCUGCCCUUGACUUUGGGAUAACUUCAGGAAACUGGGGCUAAUACCGGAUAGGAGCUCCUGCUGCAUGGUGGGGGUUGGAAAGUUUCGGCGGUUGGGGAUGGACUCGCGGCUUAUCAGCUUGUUGGUGGGGUAGUGGCUUACCAAGGCUUUGACGGGUAGCCGGCCUGAGAGGGUGACCGGCCACAUUGGGACUGAGAUACGGCCCAGACUCCUACGGGAGGCAGCAGUGGGGAAUAUUGCACAAUGGGCGGAAGCCUGAUGCAGCAACGCCGCGUGCGGGAUGACGGCCUUCGGGUUGUAAACCGCUUUCGCCUGUGACGAAGCGUGAGUGACGGUAAUGGGUAAAGAAGCACCGGCUAACUACGUG